AGCUUUGCGCAGUGGCAGUAUCGUAGCCCAUGAGGUUUAUCUGAGGCGCGAUUAUCGCUAAUUGAAAACUUUCUAUUCCUCUUAAUUGCAUGAGGAGGAAGAUGCUGCCUGAGUUUCCUUCCUACUGGAAAGCAGCUGAGCUG
This is a small nuclear RNA of Ochotona curzoniae (black-lipped pika), 143 nucleotides long. RefSeq annotates it as U4 spliceosomal RNA. The transcript has a single exon. The record is from RefSeq and is a predicted model, not a curated record. NCBI's taxonomy places the organism in Eukaryota, Metazoa, Chordata, Mammalia, Lagomorpha, Ochotonidae.